RNAcentral lists this ribosomal RNA (206 nucleotides) under uncultured bacterium. RNAcentral's name for it is "partial 16S ribosomal RNA". It matches the Rfam family "Bacterial small subunit ribosomal RNA", at positions 1287 to 1500 of the family's 1533-position model. The record is from RNAcentral.
CUCAGUUCGGAUCGGAGUCUGCAACCCGACUCCGUGAAGCUGGAUUCGCUAGUAAUCGCGCAUCAGCCAUGGCGCGGUGAAUACGUUCCCGGGCCUUGUACACACCGCCCGUCAAGCCAUGGGAGCCGGGAGUGCCUGAAGUCCGUGACCGCGAGGAGCGGCCUAGGGUAAGACCGGUGACUGGGGCUAAGUCGUAACAAGGUAUC